This is a long non-coding RNA of Medicago truncatula (barrel medic), 1263 nucleotides long. RefSeq lists it as uncharacterized. The record is from RefSeq and is a predicted model, not a curated record. NCBI's taxonomy places the organism in Eukaryota, Viridiplantae, Streptophyta, Magnoliopsida, Fabales, Fabaceae. The transcript is spliced from 2 exons.
AUUAACCCUCCAAAACCCCCCUCCAAUACAAUUUUUUAGUUCCUCCAAAUGAGGAAGGUUUUGUAUUAUGAAGAAAAGUUAACCCCCCAAAGCCCUCAUCUUUCAUUUUCCUCUAUUUCUUCCACUUACUUAUUCCUUUUUUCCCAAGCCUUCUCCUCCCUUCCCCUCCAAACUCGCAAACAAAGCCUAAGAUUUAUUUCCCCCCAAACUCCUCUUCAAAGAAAUUCAGAAUGACACCCUUGUCAAAAUCUCACCACGGCGUCUCUAGAUUUCGAAUCACACCAUGAAUCUGUAGCAAUUCUGUUCUUCACUCGUCAGUCCUCACUGAUUCGAAUUCUCUGAUUCUGUAAAGUCAUUGAAGAGGGGCACAAAACGAAGAUGAAGACUCCGAGCAAGAAAAACAACAGAACUGAAGACGAAGAGGGUGAAACCAAUGGAAGCGGUCCAUAUAUGUCCGAAAGCAAUGUAGCUGAUCUGCCUUUGAUCAAAAGCAAUAAAAGUGGAGAUGGCGAGCUAGGCAAAAAGAAAAAGAAAAAGAAGAAACUGAGUGAAGAGAGCAAUCAUAAGAAGUAUAAUGAGUUCGAUAGCAAUGAAUGUGAAGAUGAUGACCAAGGAAAGAAGAUGAAAAAGAAGCGGAAGCUAAUUGAAACAGUGCAUUUUGUUGCAAGAAGUGGUAUGAGCAAUUAACAUCACCAAUGGUUGCUAGUGGUGAUUGGUGUGAUACGGAUGACUUCCGCUUGAUAAACGCUUUAUAUGCUUUGGAUGCUUGCUGCAUGGAGGAGGUAGACUGGGACAAUCUACUUGAGCAUAGGUCUGGUGAUGUGUGCUGGAAACGAUGGGAACAAAUGAUCCACCAUAUCGGGGAGCAUGCAGCCAAGUCAUUCAUUGAGCAGGUUGAAGUUCUGGCAAAGAGAUUCUGCCCUAACCUGUUGGAAGAUAGAGAGGCCUUUGACAACAAACCUGUGAUUUGUUGAGGUUUCUAACCUUUAACGUGGUUUUCCAGAGGAUGAAAUGAUUUUGGUAAACCAGAAUGUAUUAUGCUAUGAUGAGUAUGGUGUUUUUUGUUGUAAUGAAAUCUUAAGUAGUAACCUUGUUCUUUUAAGUAGUAGUAACUUAAGUUAAACUUGUUUUGAUUAAAGGCUGGUUUUGAUUUUGGCCUGUUAGACCUACUAAUUCUAUCGUGAACUUGAGAAAGUUAGAUGUUUCAGGUGAAAAAUCAGAGCUGAAGUUCACAAUCUCAGACCUGAAACAUCUUUGCACGAA